This 641-nucleotide unclassified non-coding RNA is filed under the name Hevea brasiliensis (rubber tree). The record is from RNAcentral. Lineage: Eukaryota; Viridiplantae; Streptophyta; Magnoliopsida; Malpighiales; Euphorbiaceae.
GCCAUGGCUAGCCGAGGAGGCAGCGGUGGUAGAGACCGAUUUCGCAGAGAUUUUGGGUCUUCACGUUACGAAGACAGCACUAGUAGUAAUAGCAGUAGUAAGCGAGGCAAUAAUCCGCCUUCAAGGCACCUAUGGGUUGGGAAUUUGUCGCACAGUUUGGUGGAGAAUGAAUUGACCGAUCACUUUUUGCAGUAUGGGGAGUUGGAUACAGUAGCUUUCCAGGCAGGGCGGAGCUCCGCAUUUAUUAAUUUUAAGAGGGAAGAUGAUGCGAUUGUAGCCAUGAAGGAUCUCCAGGGUUUUCCACUUGCUGGCAACCCGCUUAGGAUUGAGUUUGCUAAGGCGGAGAAGUCAUCUGUACCAUCACGUGAUGAAGAUUACUUGCAACGGCGAGAUGAACAGCGCUCUGGAUUAAAAGGAGGCCCUUUCUCUCAGAGGGACUCUAGACUUCGUAAUGCUAGUCCUGACCCAUAUUAUGUUGACAAAUCCAAGAUAAAUGAUAAGAGUGCUGAACCUAGUGAGGUGUUAUGGAUAGGUUUUCCAGCCUUGUUGAAGGUAGAUGAAAUGAUCUUAAGAAAGGCUUUUUCACCAUUUGGUGAGAUUGAAAAGAUUACCGUAUUUCCAGGCCGUAGUUAUGCUUUUGU